AGCUCAUUAGUCCUAAUCUUAAUUAUUUCAUUAUUGCUGGCACUUCAAUGGUCUUUCUCUCAAUAUUUUUACAAAUAUUUCCAUUUGAUACCAGCGAUGAAGAAAGAUUUAAAAAAACUUGACUCUUACUCUGCUAUAUUUCAUUGUACCUUGAUUUCAUUGGAUACACAAUUGCUUUUGGAACCAUCCUGUCUAAAAUGUGGAGGAUAUAUUACAUAUUUCAUAAUCCUUCGCCAAAUAAAAAGAUACUCACUGAUUGGCAUUUGAUUGGUCUAAUUCUAUUAAUAACUGCUGGCAUGGUUGCUAU
This is a long non-coding RNA of Amphimedon queenslandica, 307 nucleotides long. RefSeq lists it as uncharacterized. The transcript is spliced from 3 exons. NCBI's taxonomy places the organism in Eukaryota, Metazoa, Porifera, Demospongiae, Haplosclerida, Niphatidae. The record is from RefSeq and is a predicted model, not a curated record.